CCUCCCACUGCCUCCAUCUUGGAUAAAAAUUUUUUUCAAAAAGAUGGCAUGAUGGCUCACAAUCACAUUGUGAUCUUCAGAAAGAUAGAAAUAAUAUCCCAUUAGAUUUCUUAGGAUACUUUAUGAAAUGAGUCCUAAAUGAUCUAGCCUCUAACUUGUCCGUCUGCUAUCGCUUGACAUAGAUCGGACAUCUCUAAAUCUUGAGAUAACUAAGAGUUGGCUUCUUACCAUACCAUAACUCAUAUGGUG
Molecule: long non-coding RNA, 249 nt
Filed under: Elaeis guineensis (African oil palm)
Lineage: Eukaryota; Viridiplantae; Streptophyta; Magnoliopsida; Arecales; Arecaceae
Description: long non-coding RNA (EGUI_LNC066370)
Source: RNAcentral